This 253-nucleotide ribosomal RNA is filed under the name uncultured bacterium. RNAcentral describes it as "partial 16S ribosomal RNA". It matches the Rfam family "Bacterial small subunit ribosomal RNA", at positions 524 to 776 of the family's 1533-position model. The record is from RNAcentral.
UACAGAGGGUGCAAGCGUUAAUCGGAAUUACUGGGCGUAAAGGGCUCGUAGGCGGCCAACUAAGUCAGACGUGAAAUCCCCAGGCUCAACCUGGGAACUGCGUCUGAUACUGGAUGGCUUGAAUCCGGGAGAGGGAUGCAGAAUUCCAGGUGUAGCGGUGAAAUGCGUAGAUAUCUGGAGGAAUACCGGUGGCGAAGGCGGCAUCCUGGACCGGCAUUGACGCUGAGGAGCGAAAGCUAGGGGAGCAAACGGG